RNAcentral lists this ribosomal RNA (400 nucleotides) under uncultured bacterium. Its description in RNAcentral is "partial 16S ribosomal RNA". It matches the Rfam family "Bacterial small subunit ribosomal RNA", at positions 360 to 776 of the family's 1533-position model. The record is from RNAcentral.
AAUAUUGCACAUUGGGGGAAACCCUGAUGUAGCAACGCCGCUUGAAGGAAGAAGGCCUUCUGUUUGUAAACUUCGUUGACCGGGGACGAAUAAUGACGGUACCCGGAAAACAAGCCACGUCUAACUACGUGCCAGCAACCUCUGUAAUACGUAGGUGGCAAGCGUUGUCCGGAUUUACUGGGUGUAAAGGGCGUGUAGGCGGGUUUUUAAGUAAGAUGUGAAAUACCGGGGCUCAACUCCGGGGCUGCAUCUGAAACUGGAGAUCUUGAGUACUGGAGGGGAAAGUGGAAUUCCUAGUGUAGCGGUGAAAUGCGUAGAGAUUAGGAGGAACACCAGUGGCGAAGGCGGCUUUCUGGACAGUAACUGACGCUGAGGCGCGAAAGCGUGGGGAGCAAACAGG